GACGAACGCUGGCGGCGUGCUUAACACAUGCAAGUCGAACGGAAAGGCCCUGCUUUUGUGGGGUGCUCGAGUGGCGAACGGGUGAGUAACACGUGAGUAACCUGCCCUUGACUUUGGGAUAACUUCAGGAAACUGGGGCUAAUACCGGAUAGGAGCUCCUGCUGCAUGGUGGGGGUUGGAAAGUUUCGGCGGUUGGGGAUGGACUCGCGGCUUAUCAGCUUGUUGGUGGGGUAGUGGCUUACCAAGGCUUUGACGGGUAGCCGGCCUGAGAGGGUGACCGGCCACAUUGGGACUGGGAUACGGCCCAGACCCCUACGGGGGGCAGCGGUGGGGAAUAUUGCAAAAUGGGCGGAAGCCUGAUGCAGCAACGCCGGGUGGGGGAUGACGGCCUUCGGGUUGUAACCCGCUUUCCCCUGUGACGAAGGGUGAGUGACGGUAAUGGGUAAAGAAGCACCGGCUAACUACGU
This 467-nucleotide ribosomal RNA is filed under the name uncultured bacterium. RNAcentral's name for it is "partial 16S ribosomal RNA". It matches the Rfam family "Bacterial small subunit ribosomal RNA", at positions 28 to 506 of the family's 1533-position model. The record is from RNAcentral.